Molecule: unclassified non-coding RNA, 300 nt
Organism: Callithrix jacchus (white-tufted-ear marmoset)
Lineage: Eukaryota; Metazoa; Chordata; Mammalia; Primates; Cebidae
Rfam family: Metazoan signal recognition particle RNA
About the family: The signal recognition particle (SRP) is a universally conserved ribonucleoprotein. It is involved in the co-translational targeting of proteins to membranes.
Source: Ensembl
AUUGGGUGCGGUGGCACAUGCCUGUAGUCCCAUCUACUUGGGAGGCUUAGGUGGGAGGAUCGCUUGAGCCCAGGAGUUCUGGGCUGUAGGGCACUAUGCUGAUUGUGUGUCCACACUAAGUUCAGCAUCAGUAUGGUGACCUUCCCAGAGCAGGGGACCACUAGGUUGCCUAAGGAGGGGUGAACCGACCCAGGUCGGAAACAGAGCAGGUCAAAACUCCCGUGCUGAUCAGUAGUGGGAUCGCGCCUGUGAAUGGCCACUGCACUCCAGCCUGGGCAGCAUAGCGAGACCCCAUCUCAA